Molecule: ribosomal RNA, 458 nt
Filed under: uncultured bacterium
Lineage: Bacteria
Description: bacterial SSU rRNA
Rfam family: Bacterial small subunit ribosomal RNA
Source: RNAcentral
AUGAACGUUGGCGGUACGCCUAACACAUGCAAGUCGAACGAUGAUAGAGAGCUUGCUCCCUUGAUUAGUGGCGCACGGGUGAGUAUACCAUAGAUAAUGUACCUCUUAGUUCGGGAUAGCCACUGGAAACGGUGAUUAAUACCGGAUACUCCUUCUUACUCUAAGGUAAGUCGGGAAAGUUUUUUCGCUAAGAGAUCAGUCUAUGUCCUAUCAGCUAGUUGGUGAGGUAAUGGCUCACCAAGGCUAUGACGGGUAUUUGGUUUGAGAGGGUGAUCAGACACACUGGAACUGAGACACGGUCCAGACUCCUACGGGAGGCAGCAGUGAGGAAUAUUGCACAAUGGAGGAAACUCUGAUGCAGCAACGCCGCGUGGAGGAUGACGCAUUUCGGUGUGUAAACUCCUUUUAAGAGGGAAGAUAAUGACGGUACCUCUUGAAUAAGCACCGGCUAACUCCGU